CUGCGCCGACCGGACGGCCGGACUCCAGCGCCUUGGCCCGGCCCGCGAACGCUGAGCACGCGCGGAAACCCUUUAAAGAUAGGAAGUGAAAUCAAAUGGAUGUUGGAGGUGGAAUGAAGUUUUCCAUAUUCCUGACCUUUGGAGAAAGUUUGAAUUUGAACUGAACCAGUCAGCUACUUCAUCUUUUAAGUCCACUCAUCCUGAUCUCAUUCAGCAGAUCAUUAAAAAGCAUUCUGCUCAUCUUCAGUAUGUCAGCUUUAAGGUUGACAGUAGCGCUGAGUCAGCAGAAGCUGCCUGUGAUAUACUCUCUCAGCUGGUAAAUUGUUCCAUCCAGACCUUGGGCUUGAUUUCAACAGCCAAGCCAAGUUUCAUGAAUGUGUCGGAGUCUCAUUUUGUGUCAGCACUUAACAGUUGUUUUUAUCAACUCAAAAUCAUUAUCAUCAAUCAAAAUUGAAGAUACGCCAGUGGAUGAUCCUUCAUUGAAGAUUCUUGUGGCCAAUAAUAGUGACACUCUAAGACUCCUAAAGAUGAGUAGCUGUCCUCAUGUUUCAUCUGAUGAUGGGUUACAUUUUUUAAAGCUAGAAUGAUAUGAUAUUUUUAUUACAAUAACUAUAAAGAUGCAAUUUCCUUUUGAAAAUUAUAUGCCUAUGAAGCAUAAAUUAUUUAAGUAAGUUUUUUCAAAAGAUUUCUUAAUCUGCAAGGUAGGUAUAGUUAUAGUAAGUUUCUCCUGAGAUAUUUUAAUUUUACAUAUAUACAUAUGCUUUUCAUUAUAU
RNAcentral lists this small RNA (773 nucleotides) under Pan troglodytes (chimpanzee). Its description in RNAcentral is "processed transcript". Lineage: Eukaryota; Metazoa; Chordata; Mammalia; Primates; Hominidae. The record is from RNAcentral.